This 971-nucleotide ribosomal RNA is filed under the name Cassava witches'-broom aster yellows phytoplasma. RNAcentral's name for it is "bacterial SSU rRNA". It matches the Rfam family "Bacterial small subunit ribosomal RNA", at positions 251 to 1231 of the family's 1533-position model. Lineage: Bacteria; Bacillati; Mycoplasmatota; Mollicutes; Acholeplasmatales; Acholeplasmataceae. The record is from RNAcentral.
GGUGGGGUAAAGGCCUACCAAGACUAUGAUGUGUAGCCGGGCUGAGAGGUUGAACGGCCACAUUGGGACUGAGACACGGCCCAAACUCCUACGGGAGGCAGCAGUAGGGAAUUUUCGGCAAUGGAGGAAACUCUGACCGAGCAACGCCGCGUGAACGAUGAAGUAUUUCGGUACGUAAAGUUCUUUUAUUAGGGAAGAAUAAAUGAUGGAAAAAUCAUUCUGACGGUACCUAAUGAAUAAGCCCCGGCUAACUAUGUGCCAGCAGCCGCGGUAAUACAUAGGGGGCAAGCGUUAUCCGGAAUUAUUGGGCGUAAAGGGUGCGUAGGCGGUUAAAUAAGUUUAUGGUCUAAGUGCAAUGCUUAACAUUGUGAUGCUAUAAAAACUGUUUAGCUAGAGUAAGAUAGAGGCAAGUGGAAUUCCAUGUGUAGUGGUAAAAUGCGUAAAUAUAUGGAGGAACACCAGUAGCGAAGGCGGCUUGCUGGGUCUUUACUGACGCUGAGGCACGAAAGCGUGGGGAGCAAACAGGAUUAGAUACCCUGGUAGUCCACGCCGUAAACGAUGAGUACUAAAUGUUGGGUAAAACCAGUGUUGAAGUUAACACAUUAAGUACUCCGCCUGAGUAGUACGUACGCAAGUAUGAAACUUAAAGGAAUUGACGGGACUCCGCACAAGCGGUGGAUCAUGUUGUUUAAUUCGAAGGUACCCGAAAAACCUCACCAGGUCUUGACAUGCUUCUGCAAAGCUGUAGAAACACAGUGGAGGUUAUCAGUUGCACAGGUGGUGCAUGGUUGUCGUCAGCUCGUGUCGUGAGAUGUUGGGUUAAGUCCCGCAACGAGCGCAACCCUUAUUGUUAGUUGCCAGCACGUAAUGGUGGGGACUUUAGCAAGACUGCCAGUGAUAAAUUGGAGGAAGGUGGGGACGACGUCAAAUCAUCAUGCCCCUUAUGACCUGGGGUACAAACGUGAUACAAU